GGGGGGGUCGGGGGGGGGACGGGCGGCGCCGCGCCCUUAAAACGGCCCCGAAUUGGAGGGGGGGGGGAUUGGAGCGCCUUCGGGACCGGGAAGCGGAGCGGAACCGGAGCGGAACCGGGAUCGGAACCGGGGGAUACGGAACCGGGAUCGAAGUACAGGGAUCGGAGGACCGGGAUUGGGAUCGGAAUACCGGGAUUGGGAUCGGAAUACCGGGAUUGGGAGCGGAGAACCGGGAUUCGGAUCGGGACCGGGAUUGGAGUACCCGGAGCGGGGUUAAAGCACCGCUAUUGGGAUCCGGAUCCGGGAUCGGAACACCGGGACCGGGAUUGGAGUGUUGGAAGUGGGAUCGGAAUCCGGAUCCGGGUCGGAACACCGCUAUUUGGGGUCGGGAUCCGAAUAUCGGGACUGGGAUUGGAGUACCGGGAGUGAGAGUGGGGUCCGGACCGGGAUCGGAGCACCGGAACCGGGAUUGGAGUGUUGAAAGUGGGAUCGGGAUCCGAACCGGGUUGGAGAGCCGCUAUUAGGAUCCGGAUCCGGACCGGGUCCGGGAUCCGGGCCGGGAUCGGAGCACCGAGAGUGGGAUCGCAGCGCUGCUAUUGGGAUCGGACCGCGAUCCGAACCGGGAUCGGAUUGGGACUGGGAUUGGGAUCGGACCGGGAGUGGGAUUGGAACGUCGGUAACGGGAUCGGAACCGGGAUCCGUGCUGGGAUCGGAGCGCCGUUAAUAGGGUCGGAACCGGGAUCUGAGCUGGGAUUGGAGCGCUGUUAAUAGGAUCAGAACCGGGAUCAGAGCACUGUUAGUAGGAUCAGAACCGGGAUCUGAGCUGGGAUCGGAGCGCCAUUAAUAGGAUCAGAACCGGGAUCUGAGCUCACAGCGCCAGGAUCCGGGCUGGGAAUUGGACCCCAAACGGGCCCUGAGCGCCGGCAUUGCUGGGAUUGUUGGCAUCGUUGGCUGUGGGACCCCCCCUCGUUGCCCCCCACCCCCUGCGGGCGUUGGCCUCCGGGCGUUGGGAUUGUAGGUGGGACCCCACAGCGCCGCCCCAUAGCGCCGCCCCAUAGCCCCGGCCCCCCAAGGUCACCCGGAGCCGCCGCCGGGGCCGCCAGUUGUGCCGUAGUCGGCCCUAAAGGCCACCGGGGCCACCAAAAGACCCCCCCCCAGGGCCACUGAAGACCCCCCCAGGGCCACCAAAGACCCCCCCCCCCAGGGCCACCAAAGCCACCUCUGGAGCCGCCGAGGCCACCAAAGACCCCCCCCAGGGCCACCAAAACAGCCACCAACGCCACCUGAAGAGCCACCAAGGCCACCAAAGCCAACUCUACAGCCCUCAGGGCCACCAAGGCCACCUGUAGGGCCACCAAGGCCACCAAAGCCAACUCUACAGCCCUCAGGUCCACCAAAGCCAACUCAAGAGCUACUGAAGGCCCCCAAGGCCACCUGUAGAGCCACCAAAGCCAACUCUACAGCCACCAAAGCCACCAAGGCCACCAAAGCCAUCUCUACAGCCACCAAAGCCAACUGUAGAGCUACUGAAGACCCCCAAGGCCACCAAAGCCAACUCUACAGCCUCCAAAGCCAACUGUAGAGCUACUGAAGACCCCCAAGGCCACCAAAGCCAACUCUACAGCCUCCAAAGCCAACUGUAGAGCUACUGAAGACCUCCAAAGCCAACUGUAGAGCUACUGAAGACCCCCAAAGCCAACUGUGGAGCUACUGAAGACCCCCAAAGCCAACUGUAGAGCUACUGAAGACC
Molecule: long non-coding RNA, 1750 nt
Filed under: Gallus gallus (chicken)
Lineage: Eukaryota; Metazoa; Chordata; Aves; Galliformes; Phasianidae
Source: RNAcentral